GGUCAAGAGCGCCAGCGCCAAGCCCCGGCUCGCUGGCCGGCAACCCCCUCCUCGCGGUGGGGUGCCCCGGGUGAAGACCUGGCCGAACGCCCCGGCGGCGGCAAGCGCGGGU
Molecule: non-coding RNA, 112 nt
Filed under: Mobilicoccus massiliensis
Lineage: Bacteria; Bacillati; Actinomycetota; Actinomycetes; Micrococcales; Dermatophilaceae
Description: S-adenosyl methionine (SAM) riboswitch
Rfam family: SAM (S-adenosyl methionine) riboswitch aptamer
About the family: SAM-IV is a mRNA element that regulates gene expression via direct sensing of S-adenosylmethionine (SAM or AdoMet). SAM-IV riboswitches share conserved nucleotide positions with the previously described SAM-I riboswitches sequence analysis and molecular recognition experiments suggest that SAM-I and SAM-IV riboswitches share similar ligand binding sites, but have different scaffolds.
Source: RNAcentral